GACGAACGCUGGCGGCGUGCUUAACACAUGCAAGUCGAACGGCAAGGCCCUGCUUUCGUGGGGUGCUCGAGUGGCGAACGGGUGAGUAACACGUGAGUAACCUGCCCUUGACUUUGGGAUAACUUCAGGAAACUGGGGCUACUACCGGAUAGGAGCUCCUGCUGCAUGGUGGGGGUUGGAAAGUUUCGGCGGUUGGGGAUGGACGCGCGGCUGAUCGGUUAGUUGGUGGGGUAGUGGCUUACCAAGGCUUUGGCGGGUAGCCGGCCUGGGAGGGUGACCGGUCAGAUUGGGCCUGAGAUACGGCGCAGAGUCGUACGGGGGACAACAGUGGAAAGUAUGACACACUGAGCGGGAGCCGGAUGCAGCAACGCCGCGUGCGGGAUGACGGCAUUCGGGUUGUAAAGCGCUUUAGGCUGUGACGAAGCGUGAGUGACGGUAAUGGGUAAAGAAGCACCGGCUAACUACGUG
Molecule: ribosomal RNA, 468 nt
Filed under: uncultured bacterium
Lineage: Bacteria
Description: partial 16S ribosomal RNA
Rfam family: Bacterial small subunit ribosomal RNA
Source: RNAcentral